CUCUUCGGAGUUAGUGGCGGACGGGUGAGUAACACGUGGGAACGUGCCUUUUGGUUCGGAAUAGCUCCUGGAAACGGGUGGUAAUGCCGAAUGUGCCCUUCGGGGGAAAGAUUUAUCGCCAUUAGAGCGGCCCGCGUCUGAUUAGCUAGUUGGUGAGGUAAAGGCUCACCAAGGCUACGAUCAGUAGCUGGUCUGAGAGGAUGACCAGCCACAUUGGGACUGAGACACGGCCCAAACUCCUACGGGAGGCAGCAGUGGGGAAUCUUGCGCAAUGGGCGAAAGCCUGACGCAGCCAUGCCGCGUGAAUGAUGAAGGUCUUAGGAUUGUAAAAUUCUUUCACCGGGGACGAUAAUGACGGUACCCGGAGAAGAAGCCCCGGCUAACUUCGUGCCAGCAGCCGCGGUAAUACGAAGGGGGCUAGCGUUGCUCGGAAUUACUGGGCGUAAAGGGAGCGUAGGCGGACAUUUAAGUCAGGGGUGAAAUCCCAGAGCUCAACUCUGGAACUGCCUUUGAUACUGGGUGUCUUGAGUGUGAGAGAGGUAUGUGGAACUCCGAGUGUAGAGGUGAAAUUCGUAGAUAUUCGGAAGAACACCAGUGGCGAAGGCGACAUACUGGCUCAUUACUGACGCUGAGGCUCGAAAGCGUGGGGAGCAAACAGGAUUAGAUACCC
Molecule: ribosomal RNA, 670 nt
Filed under: Brevundimonas subvibrioides
Lineage: Bacteria; Pseudomonadati; Pseudomonadota; Alphaproteobacteria; Caulobacterales; Caulobacteraceae
Description: bacterial SSU rRNA
Rfam family: Bacterial small subunit ribosomal RNA
Source: RNAcentral